This 409-nucleotide ribosomal RNA is filed under the name uncultured bacterium. RNAcentral describes it as "bacterial SSU rRNA". It matches the Rfam family "Bacterial small subunit ribosomal RNA", at positions 355 to 776 of the family's 1533-position model. RNAcentral also lists the same sequence under 1 other name. The record is from RNAcentral.
UGGGGAAUAUUGCACAAUGGGCGCAAGCCUGAUGCAGCAACGCCGCGUGAGGGACGACGGCCUUCGGGUUGUAAACCUCUUUUAGUAGGGAAGAAGCGAAAGUGACGGUACCUGCAGAAAAAGCACCGGCUAACUACGUGCCAGCAGCCGCGGUAAUACGUAGGGUGCAAGCGUUAUCCGGAAUUAUUGGGCGUAAAGAGCUCGUAGGCGGUUUGUCGCGUCUGCUGUGAAAACUGGAGGCUCAACCUCCAGCCUGCAGUGGGUACGGGCAGACUAGAGUGCGGUAGGGGAGAUUGGAAUUCCUGGUGUAGCGGUGGAAUGCGCAGAUAUCAGGAGGAACACCGAUGGCGAAGGCAGAUCUCUGGGCCGUAACUGACGCUGAGGAGCGAAAGCAUGGGGAGCGAACAGG